This 164-nucleotide small nuclear RNA is filed under the name Pogona vitticeps (central bearded dragon). Its description in RNAcentral is "U1 spliceosomal RNA (ENSPVIG00000014172.1)". It matches the Rfam family "U1 spliceosomal RNA". From Rfam's summary of the family: U1 is a small nuclear RNA (snRNA) component of the spliceosome (involved in pre-mRNA splicing). Its 5' end forms complementary base pairs with the 5' splice junction, thus defining the 5' donor site of an intron. There are significant differences in sequence and secondary structure between metazoan and yeast U1 snRNAs, the latter being much longer (568 nucleotides as compared to 164 nucleotides in human). Lineage: Eukaryota; Metazoa; Chordata; Lepidosauria; Squamata; Agamidae. The record is from Rfam by way of RNAcentral.
ACUCAUACCUGGCAGGGGAGAUACCAUGAUCAUAAAAGUGGUUUUCCCAGGGUAAGGCUCAUCUAUUGCACUUUGGAUGUGCUAAUGACUGUGAUUUCCCCAAAUAUGGGAAAAUUAACUGCCAUGUUUGUGGUAAUGGGGGGGACUGUGUUUAUGGUUCCGGA